ACAUUGUAUUCUCCUAAUGAACAGGUAACUGGUCUGUGUUACAUUGUAUUCUCCUAAUAAACAGGUAACUGGUCUGUGUUACAUUGUAUUCUCCUAAUAAACAGGUAACUGGUCUGUGUUACAUUGUAUUCUCCUAAUAAACAGGUAACUGGUCUGUGUUACAUUGUAUUCUCCUAAUGAACAGGUAACUGGCCUGUGUUACAUUGUAUUCUCCUAAUGAACAGGUAACUGGUCUGUGUUACAUUGUGUUCUCCUAAUGAACAGGUAACUGGUCUGUGUUACAUUGUAUUCUCCUAAUAAACAGGUAACUAGUCUGUGUUACAUUGUAUUCUCCUAAUGAACAGGUAACUGGUCUGUGUUACAUUGUAUUCUCCUAAUGAACAGGUAACUGGUCUGUGUUACAUUGUAUUCUCCUAAUGAACAGGUAACUGGUCUGUGUUACAUUGUGUUCUCCUAAUGAACAGGUAACUGGUCUGUGUUACAUUGUAUUCUCCUAAUGAACAGGUAACUGGUCUGUGUUACAUUGUGUUCUCCUAAUGAACAGGUAACUAGUCUGUGUUACAUUGUAUUCUCCUAAUAAACAGGUAACUGGUCUGUGUUACAUUGUAUUCUCCUAAUGAACAGGUAACUGGUCUGUGUUACAUUGUAUUCUCCUAAUGAACAGGUAACUGGUCUGUGUUACAUUGUAUUCUCCUAAUGAACAGGUAACCGGUCUGUGUUACAUUGUAUUCUCCUAAUGAACAGGUAACUGGUCUGUGUUACAUUGUGUUCUCCUAAUGAACAGGUAACUGGUCUGUGUUACAUUGUAUUCUCCUAAUGAACAGGUAACUGGUCUGUGUUACAUUGUAUUCUCCUAAUGAACAGGUAACUGGUCUGUGUUACAUUGUAUUCUCCUAAUGAACAGGUGACUGGUCUGUGUUACAUUGUGUUCUCCUAAUGAACAGGUAACUGGUCUGUGUUACAUUGUAUUCUCCUAAUGAACAGGUAACUGGUCUGUGUUACAUUGUGUUCUCCUAAUGAACAGGUAACUAGUCUGUGUUACAUUGUAUUCUCCUAAUAAACAGGUAACUGGUCUGUGUUACAUUGUAUUCUCCUAAUGAACAGGUAACUGGUCUGUGUUACAUUGUAUUCUCCUAAUAAACAGGUAACUGGUCUGUG
This is a non-coding RNA of Salmo salar (Atlantic salmon), 1158 nucleotides long. The record is from RefSeq and is a predicted model, not a curated record. NCBI's taxonomy places the organism in Eukaryota, Metazoa, Chordata, Actinopteri, Salmoniformes, Salmonidae.